UGGGGAAUAUUGCACAAUGGGCGAAAGCCUGAUGCAGCGACGCCGCGUGAGGGAUGAAGGCCUUCGGGUUGUAAACCUCUUUCAGCAGGGAAGAAGCUUUCGGGUGACGGUACCUGCAGAAGAAGCACCGGCUAACUACGUGCCAGCAGCCGCGGUAAUACGUAGGGUGCGAGCGUUGUCCGGAAUUAUUGGGCGUAAAGAGCUUGUAGGCGGUUUGUCGCGUCUGCUGUGAAAAUCUGGGGCUUAACUCCGGACGUGCAGUGGGUACGGGCAGGCUAGAGUGUGGUAGGGGAGACUGGAAUUCCUGGUGUAGCGGUGAAAUGCGCAGAUAUCAGGAGGAACACCGAUGGCGAAGGCAGGUCUCUGGGCCAUAACUGACGCUGAGAAGCGAAAGCAUGGGUAGCGAACAGG
Molecule: ribosomal RNA, 411 nt
Filed under: uncultured Dermatophilaceae bacterium
Lineage: Bacteria; Bacillati; Actinomycetota; Actinomycetes; Micrococcales; Dermatophilaceae
Description: bacterial SSU rRNA
Rfam family: Bacterial small subunit ribosomal RNA
Source: RNAcentral